CUCCAUGACUCUGCUUCAUUCUUACCCAUGGCACUAUUGUCUCUCACCCCCUUGAAAGAAGCUCCUUCAAGGCAGAGAUUUCCUCUGGUUUCCUCACAGAUACAUUCCCCGCACCUUGAAAAGUGCCUGACACAGCAGGGGAACUUAAUAGCUGUGAAUGAAGGAAUGAGUGAGUGAGUGAGCUUCUCUGCAAAUGUUGGCUGCACCACGCUCUCUUCUUGCUGUAGGAAACUGAACAGGUUACCAUCAACCAACAUAUGUCGAACUGAGGAUACCAGGACCUGGGAGUCACCGAGCUCAGAGCCCACUGCCCUGGCCACAGCAGCAUGGUCAGCGGCUCUCACCUUCCUCCCCUCCCCCUCCCGGCUCGCACGCCUCCUUGCUCCUCUCCCUGCCAUCUGGAGAUUAGGGGUAAGUAUGCCAGCAUGCCUCAGGGCUUUUCUUCUGUGGGUGUGUAUGCGUGUGCGUGUGUUUCAGGACUCAAAAUGCUUCAGAGAUCACAGUGAUGACGAAGGUGGGACGGUCACUGCUCUCUGGAGCGAGCCUGGCCUCGACUCAACAUUCCAUUCACUGUGCUCAGCGGGCUGCAGACGCCUGUCUUCGUAAGCCUCCCAGCGACCCUAUGGGGUAGCCAUUACACCCUAGUACACCCG
Molecule: long non-coding RNA, 653 nt
Filed under: Mustela putorius furo (domestic ferret)
Lineage: Eukaryota; Metazoa; Chordata; Mammalia; Carnivora; Mustelidae
Description: lncRNA (ENSMPUG00000027991.1)
Source: RNAcentral